RNAcentral lists this small RNA (2844 nucleotides) under Pan troglodytes (chimpanzee). Its description in RNAcentral is "retained intron". Lineage: Eukaryota; Metazoa; Chordata; Mammalia; Primates; Hominidae. The record is from RNAcentral.
UUUCCGGCCGGUCCCCAUGGAGGCGCUGGGGAAGCUGAAGCAGUUCGAUGCCUACCCCAAGACUUUGGAGGACUUCCGGGUCAAGACCUGCGGGGGCGCCACCGUGACCAUUGUCAGUGGCCUUCUCAUGCUGCUACUGUUCCUGUCCGAGCUGCAGUAUUACCUCACCACGGAGGUGCAUCCUGAGCUCUACGUGGACAAAUCGCGGGGAGAUAAACUGAAGAUCAACAUCGAUGUACUUUUUCCGCACAUGCCUUGUGCCUAUCUGAGUAUUGAUGCCAUGGAUGUGGCCGGAGAACAGCAGCUGGAUGUGGAACACAACCUGUUCAAGCAACGACUAGAUAAAGAUGGCAUCCCCGUGAGCUCAGAGGCUGAGCGGCAUGGUAACCAGGGGAGGGGGCCGGGUCUCAGAUCCCAAAGCUGGACGUACCCAAGCCUAUCUGCUAGCAAGUGAACUGUGACAGGCAUAGUGAUACAUUAAACAACUAAGAGCUAGAGAAGUCAAGUGACUUGCCUAGGGUCCCCCAGCUAGUAAGAGUCAGAGUGAGCUAAAAUCCUCUAUACAUAUCGAGUCAGGUAAUCUACCUGGCUAUUAUUCUCAGAGGUCCUCAAUACCUGCAGAUGGUAGUUUGAAUACCAGAGGUUUGAAGAUAGGUCUUAUGUGCUCUUGCCUUGGUAGAACUGUCUAGAUGGACCCAGGCUUCUCUGAGUGUUUGCUUUCCCAGCCCAUUGGCUUAAUUCAGCCCUUAAUGCUCUUCCCCUUUGGAAUGCAGGUGGUUUAAUGAGAAUUUAGGUUCUCAAGUCAGAUUGCCUGGGUUCACAUCUAGCUUUGUCUCCUGCAGUCUGUGAGCUUCAGCUAGAAAGUGGUGAUAAAACAGUAGUACCAACCACAUGGAAUUGUAAGAUCAAAUGAAGUCAUAUGUGUAAAAUGCCUGGUACAGAGUGGGUACCCACUUUUACCUUCCUUUCCUUUAUCUUGGUGGCUUCCCAAUGCCUCCGUUAACUCAGUUUCCCACCACAGCAAAACUGUCCUCAAAGCUGGGAUUUCUAACACCUUAGAGAUUACUCUGGUGGGGAGUUUUAUCAUUCGUUGUUUCAGCAGAUUAAUGCAGGACACCAGUGGAACCAACAUAAUUUGCUAUAGGACUGGAUGUGGAGUGGAGGAGAGCAAAGUCAUGGUUGUUGAUUCCAACGCUUUCAGCCUGAGCAAAUGAAUGACUUGAGAUGGAGAUGACUGGAGGAGAAGGUUUUUUUGGUGGGAGGGAGGAGUGGCUAUUGGAUAUCCACUGCUGUGUAACAAAGUACUCCAAAAGUUAGUAGUUUGAUACAAUAAAAAUGUGUUUUUUCAGUUUCCCUGGGUCAGGAAUUUAGGAGUGGCUUGUUUGGGUGAUUCGGGAUUAGGGUAUCUCACGAGGUUGCAGUCAUCUAAGGAUUGAUGGGGCACUGCAGAAUCUACUAUCUAUCUAUCUAUCUAUCUAUGUAUCUAUCUAUCUAUCUAUCUGUCUAUCUUGAGACAGUCUCACUCUGUCGCCCAGGCUGGAGUGCCGUGGCGCGAUCUUGGCUCACUGCAACCUCCGCCUCCCAGGUUCAAGUGAUUCUCCUGCCUCAACCUCCCGAGUAGCUGGGAUUACAGGCCUGUGCCACCAUGCCCAGCUAAUUUUUUGUAUUUUUAGUAGAGACGGGGUUGCACCUUGUUGGGCCAGAUGGUCUUGAUCUCUUGACCUCGUGAUCCACCCGCCUCAGCCUUCCAAAGUGCUGGGAUUACAGGCAUGAGCCACUGUGCCUGGCCUACUUAUUUGUUGUUUAAAUUUAUUUUUUUUUCGUCAAGGUGUUCUUUAUUUCAGAGAGAGGGCAGGACAGGGGGCUCAGUCUUUCUUGGCAUCAGCUUUCCUCAUGAUGGCUGGGACAUUGCUCAGCUCCUCCUGCCUCCUCUUAGUGCAGAUGUGUGUCCCCACUCUUUUCUUGAUGAACUUGAGGGCCCGUUUGUCCUUGGAGACCUUGAGUAACACCAUGGCGUGCCGCUCAUACGGGGCGAAACCACACACCUCUCGAAUCAUGUCCCACAUGAAUUUGGUGUGUUUGGUCAGGCGCCCGCGGCGGCAGCUGUGCCUGGGCUUGCUCAUGUUCUUGGUCAUCUUGUGGCCCUUGUGAAGGCACACGGCCAUAGUGGGUAGCACAGAGCCAUGGCUGCUGCUCUCCAAUGGCAGCUGUGGCAGAAGGGCUGGUGCCUCGCGGGGAUCUACUUUUUUUUUUUUUUUUUUGAGAGUCACGCUCUGUCACCCAGGCUGGAGUGCAAUGGUGCGAUUUCAGCUCACUGCAACCUCUGCCUCCCGGCUUCAAGUGAUUCACCUGCCUCAGCCUUCUGAGUAGCUGGGAUUACAGGCGCCUGCCACCACACCCGGCUAAUUUUUGUAUUUUUGGUAGAGACAGGGUUUCAUCAUCGUGGCCAGGCUGGUCUCAAACUCCUCACCUCAGGUGAUCCACCCGCCUUGGCCCCCAAAGUGUUGGGAUUACAGGCAUGGGCCACCACGCCCAGCAGGGGAUCUGCUUUUAAAGGGCUCACCACUCAUAGGGCUGUUGGCAGGAUGCCUCAGUGCCUCACCACAUGGGCCUCUCAGUAGGGCUGCUUGUGUGUCCUUAUAUCACGGCAACUGGCUUCCCCCACUUGGAUCUUGCAAGUGAGCUGAGAGAACAAAGUAGAAACCAUAACCUUUGGCCGGGCAUGGUGGCUCACGCCUGUAGUCCCAGCACUUUUGGAGGCUGAGGCAGUUGGAUCACCUGAAGUCAGGAGUUCAAGACCAGCCUGGCCAACAUGGUAAAACCCCCAUCUCUACUAAAAAAUAA